CGGCUAAAUCAUUCUUUCUGCUGGCUUCCCGUUCAAUCUCCUGGCCACAGUACCAUCGAGCAGUGUUAGGAUUCUUGGUGUAUUGAGGACUCAAACAGAGAAUGUCCAAACCGGAGUUGCCUACGAGAUUAUUCCUAGUGCGAUUAAUGUGAUGGGCUUCGUUCCAGUGGAAUGCAACUUUAGUGACAAUAAUUGAGAUUGCACUCGCAGGACAGCCACUAUGCCACUCCAUUUUGUAAAGGGUGUGCCCCAGCCAUCAGCCCCACUGCUGCACAAACAUAGUGCCAUUGUGUUCUUGGUGAACGAUAAACAUCAAUGACACUUCAAAAUAGGC
RNAcentral lists this long non-coding RNA (334 nucleotides) under Musa acuminata (dwarf banana). RNAcentral's name for it is "long non-coding RNA (MACU_LNC000721)". The record is from RNAcentral. Lineage: Eukaryota; Viridiplantae; Streptophyta; Magnoliopsida; Zingiberales; Musaceae.